GUGUCAGCAGCCGCGGUAAUACGUAGGGGGCAAGCGUUGUCCGGAUUUACUGGGCGUAAAGAGCGUGUAGGCGGCCAAACAGGUCCGUUGUGAAAACUGGAGGCUUAACCUCCAGACGUCGACGGAAACCGUGUGGCUAGAGUCCGGAAGAGGAGAGUGGAAUUCCUGGUGUAGCGGUGAAAUGCGCAGAUAUCAGGAAGAACACCAAUGGCGAAGGCAGCUCUCUGGGACGGUACUGACGCUGAGACGCGAAAGCGUGGGGAGCGAACAGGAUUAGAAACCCCUGUAGUCC
Molecule: ribosomal RNA, 292 nt
Filed under: uncultured bacterium
Lineage: Bacteria
Description: partial 16S ribosomal RNA
Rfam family: Bacterial small subunit ribosomal RNA
Source: RNAcentral